Molecule: non-coding RNA, 1411 nt
Organism: Varroa destructor (honeybee mite)
Lineage: Eukaryota; Metazoa; Arthropoda; Arachnida; Mesostigmata; Varroidae
Source: RefSeq, a predicted model, not a curated record
AUAUGUAAUUAAGUCGAACCUCCCGCCUCCGCCACUUUAAAUGACUAAACAACGAAAGUAGAAGUUCGGACAAAAAUUUUUCCCAUUGCCUACCAUUAGCGGACUCAGGGGACUUUCACGUCUCUUCGUGGAACCAAAUUGCUGACUUGACUUGAUUAAAAUUUACAGUCGCUACAAGAGCUCGUCUACAGCAUGGAAUCUGUCUUUUCGACAUCAAGUCUCAUGUUUUUCGCGUUGAGUACGACGAUAUGGUUGACGUACGCCCUUCUUGCUUUAGGCGCAGUACGCCUUCGGGGUGGGGGUUCAGGACAAAAUCGAGCGCAACAUCUUCGGAUGCUUUAUUUCACUAGUGCCCUUGCCAUUCAGGCUGCGCUUUUCGCGCCGUCACCAUUGCUAGCCCGGUUGCGAGCCGGAGCUAACCACAGCGCAAGUUCUGCAAAUAAUUCAGUCCGUGAACGGCAGGACCUAUUUGUACUCGCUUUACAGUGGACUCCCGGAGUGUGCUACCGUGGAGUAGAUUUCAGAAAUCGCCGCUGUCAUAAUUGUUUACGGAACAACUGGACGAUUCACGGGUUGUGGGGUAUGAUGAGCUUUUGCGGCGAAUACGAAACGUUCUCGAAAUUAUCACUUAACGUUAAAUUGAUGCAAGCAUUGUGGCCAUCUUGUGGGAGACCCGAUGAAGAAUUUUGGGAAUACGAAUGGAGAAAGCAUGGCACGUGCUUCAGGGAGAUCAGUGGCGUUAAUUCGAUGACAAAAUACUUCAACAAAACGUUGUACUUAACUGAGCGCGCUAAUAUUUUAAAUAUAUUGGCUGAACAAGACAUUCGGCCGUCUUCGACGUACACGGUUUCGGUGGAAGCUAUCGAAAAAGCUCUACAAAAGAUUCAUGGCGCUUCCGCAACGGUCAACUGCGAUAAUCCGCGGUAUGGUAAAUCGCUUCUGACCGAAAUUCAUAUUUGUUUUGAUGGCAGCUUUCGACCUAGCAACUGCAGACCGGUCCGUCAGCGGUGCAGAAGUCAAGUAUUUUAUGAGGAAUUCCCUAGAUCAACAGAUUAUUAUGAGUAAGCUUAAAAUUGAUUUGUUAGUGACGAUGAAAUACUUCUGAAUGAAUUUCACAUAAGAUUUUUGUUAAGUAAUUUUCAAAAUACCCUUGACUUGCGGGACCAUCGAAUAAAUAGCAGCUCAGUAAUGACUUGCCGAAUACAGGAUCGUUGGUGUUAUUGCGUGACAAUAGCGUUCGAUGCUGAUAGAAUUACCACGUCUUGUUGGUAUAUACAACCUGAAUCCUUUAUGACAGGCAUAAAGCAGCACGUCAUAUGGUAGAAAAAUGGACAACCUUAUAUAGCAGGUUCGUUCUUAACGUGCGUUCCCAAUCGGCGGACCCUUCCGGCAGUCACCGCAUGCAUCAUCC